AGCAGCAGCCACGGGAAUACGUAGGGUGCAAGCGUUAAUCGGAAUUACUGGGCGUAAAGCGUGCGCAGGCGGUUUGUUAAGACAGAUGUGAAAUCCCCGGGCUCAACCUGGGAACUGCAUUUGUGACUGGCAAGCUAGAGUGUGGCAGAGGGGGGUGGAAUUCCGCGUGUAGCAGUGAAAUGCGUAGAUAUGCGGAGGAACACCGAUGGCGAAGGCAGCCCCCUGGGCCAACACUGACGCUCAUGCACGAAAGCGUGGGGAGCAAACAGGAUUAGAUACCCCUGUAGUCCCUGUCUCUUAUAC
Molecule: ribosomal RNA, 303 nt
Filed under: uncultured bacterium
Lineage: Bacteria
Description: partial 16S ribosomal RNA
Rfam family: Bacterial small subunit ribosomal RNA
Source: RNAcentral